ACCUACGGGGCGCAGCAGUGAGGGAUAUUGGUCAAUGGGGGAAACCCUGAACCAGCAACGCCGCGUGAGGGAAGACGGUUUUCGGAUUGUAAACCUCUGUCCUCUGUGAGGAUAAUGACGGUAGCAGAGGAGGAAGCUCCGGCUAACUACGUGCCAGCAGCCGCGGUAAUACGUAGGGAGCAAGCGUUAUCCGGAAUUAUUGGGUGUAAAGGGUGCGUAGACGGGAUAACAAGUUGGUUGUGAAACCCCUCGGCUCAACUGAGGAACUGCAACCAAACCUAUUAUUCUUGAGUGCA
Molecule: ribosomal RNA, 296 nt
Filed under: uncultured bacterium
Lineage: Bacteria
Description: partial 16S ribosomal RNA
Rfam family: Bacterial small subunit ribosomal RNA
Source: RNAcentral